GCCGCUAUAGCUCAGUGGUAGAGCACUGGUCUCGUAAACCAGAGGUCGUGAGUUCAAACCUCACUGGUGGCA
RNAcentral lists this transfer RNA (72 nucleotides) under Dermacentor silvarum. RNAcentral's name for it is "transfer RNA threonine (anticodon CGU)". It matches the Rfam family "tRNA". From Rfam's summary of the family: Transfer RNA (tRNA) molecules are approximately 80 nucleotides in length. The record is from RNAcentral. Lineage: Eukaryota; Metazoa; Arthropoda; Arachnida; Ixodida; Ixodidae.